Molecule: long non-coding RNA, 933 nt
Organism: Phacochoerus africanus (Common warthog)
Lineage: Eukaryota; Metazoa; Chordata; Mammalia; Artiodactyla; Suidae
Exons: 4
Source: RefSeq, a predicted model, not a curated record
UCCUGGACAGCUUCACCUGCCCCAGUUCUCCCAUCAUGGUAAACAGCACUUCAGUUCACUCCCAUUCCAGGGUUUGUGGCUCCCUCUCCUGAGCUUCCCAACUCACAGCUGUGGUGAUGGCCCAUACCCAGGACUGCCUGCUUUGCGAGGAGAGGAGAUCACAGGUGGCUCCUGGACACAACAGGGGAGGAAAGCAGAGAAGAGCCAGGAGAGGCUGGACCUCCACAUCACAGGACACUUCCCUGUUCACAGUUGCAUCACCAGAGUGGGGUCUCCAUGUUCAUCUUUGCCCUCCAGGACCUACCACUCUGAUACCACUUCCUGUCUGGUGGAUAAACAGAGACAUGGUCUGAGGAGCAACCUGGAGCAUCCUUGUGGAAGCAGAGGCCUUGCCCAGCUCCGCACACUCACGCGGGAGGUGUCGCUGCUGGGCUGAGUGGGGCGGACUCUCCCACCGCGUGGAACACAGAUGGAGCUGGCAGCCCCUCCCCGCAGCCCCCUCUCUGCCCCGGCGUAGGAGGUGCACGGCGUACCCUACCCCAAUCUGGGAGGGUCCGGAGCACGUGUGGGCCGCCCUUCCCGGCCGGAGGGGAGCGGGCGGGGGCCUCUCCCAUCACCCUCUCUGGGUCAACAGCACAAAAGCGGCGGCUGCGAACAAAGAAGCGCUGCAAACUCGCCAGGGGGGCGGGACAGCCCGCGCCGCACCCCCUCCCCACGCCCGGCGGGCGUGCCGGGCCGUGGGGUCCCCGACGGCGCUCUUACCUGGCCGGCGCGGACCUCUUUCUCCAGCUCGCGGUGGCGGUUGUGCCACACGAGGUAGUGCAGCGGGUACUUGCCCUCGGGCCCUUUCCUGGCGGAGGCGUUGGCGGGGAUCAUCGCCCGCUCCUCAUGCCGGGGCCGCGGCGCCCGGCCCGGGAGGAGGGACGGCGCCAG